Molecule: ribosomal RNA, 447 nt
Filed under: uncultured bacterium
Lineage: Bacteria
Description: bacterial SSU rRNA
Rfam family: Bacterial small subunit ribosomal RNA
Source: RNAcentral
UGGGGAAUCUUGGACAAUGGGCGCAAGCCUGAUCCAGCCAUGCCGCGUGGAUGAUGAAGGCCUUAGGGUUGUAAAGCUCUUUUACCAGGGAUGAUAAUGACAGUACCUGGAGAAUAAGCUCCGGCUAACUCCGUGCCAGCAGCCGCGGUAAUACGGAGGGAGCUAGCGUUGUUCGGAAUUACUGGGCGUAAAGCGUACGUAGGCGGUGACUCAAGUCAGAGGUGAAAGCCUGGAGCUCAACUCCAGAACUGCCUUUGAAACUAGGUCGCUAGAAUCACGGAGAGGUGAGUGGAAUUCCGAGUGUAGAGGUGAAAUUCGUAGAUAUUCGGAAGAACACCAGUGGCGAAGGCGGCUCACUGGACGUGUAUUGACGCUGAGGUACGAAAGCGUGGGGAGCAAACAGGAUUAGAUACCCCCGUAGUCCCUGAGCGGGCUGGCAAGGCGCAU